AUCGCUUCUCAGCCUUUUGGCUACGAUCAAGUGUAGUAUCUGUUGUCAUCAGUUUAAUAUCUAAAACGUCCCUGGGGAACAUAUAUUACUGUACAUGCAUUUUAUGAGAACCGGGGGGCGAUUUCGAAAGUUGCUUCCAUCAUCCUACACAUUGACGCUAUAUGGCAGUAUCUUUGGGUACAGUACACAAAAA
Hyla sarda is the source of this 193-nucleotide small nuclear RNA. RefSeq annotates it as U2 spliceosomal RNA. Lineage: Eukaryota; Metazoa; Chordata; Amphibia; Anura; Hylidae. The transcript has a single exon. The record is from RefSeq and is a predicted model, not a curated record.